UCUUGAUUACGCGAUUUCCGUUUUUAACCUCAAUCACGAACAUAGCCACGGUCUUGGUCCACGUUCUUCGAUAGUUACCAUCUUCCGAAUUUGGAAACCUUGAGCAACGAACAACUAUAAAAGCCGAAGCCUCACCACCUCCGAACACACCUCAGUUCCUCGUUAACAACUCGCCGGAGUAAACCGUAGUCACCGGAGCUUCGCCAAACAACCCGAAGACGCCGAACAAACCAAAGCACCCGAUCGUUUCAUCUUCGUUCGUCUCCACCGGAGAACCUCCGCACCGCCACCACAUCGCCGGAACUCGCCGCUGUCAACCACCGCCGGUCGCCGGAGCCGGAGAAGACGACCGGGUAAAUCUCUUGUGCAACGACACUUGGAACAAUCCUCACAUUCUCUUUCCAAGAAAUACGCAACGCACUCCAAGGUUGAAAGUACAAGAUUCAAGAAUCGAGCUAGGAUGAACUCUAGAAACCCACAUAACAUUUGAAUUAUUGUUGAACAAUAUGUUGUAUUGUUUGGAACUAUGUAUUUCACUUUAGAGUUUAUGAAAUGAAUUAAAUAAAUUAUUGUCACAUUUAGUGUUA
This is a long non-coding RNA of Helianthus annuus (common sunflower), 587 nucleotides long. RefSeq lists it as uncharacterized. NCBI's taxonomy places the organism in Eukaryota, Viridiplantae, Streptophyta, Magnoliopsida, Asterales, Asteraceae. The record is from RefSeq and is a predicted model, not a curated record. The transcript is spliced from 3 exons.